RNAcentral lists this ribosomal RNA (499 nucleotides) under uncultured bacterium. RNAcentral's name for it is "bacterial SSU rRNA". It matches the Rfam family "Bacterial small subunit ribosomal RNA", at positions 29 to 507 of the family's 1533-position model. The record is from RNAcentral.
ACGAACGCUGGCGGCGUGCCUAAUACAUGCAAGUCGAGCGGAAUGAAGAAGAAGCUUGCUUCUUCUGAUUUUAGCGGCGGACGGGUGAGUAACACGUGGGCAACCUACCAUGUAGAUUGGGAUAACUCCGGGAAACCGGGGCUAAUACCGAAUAAUCCAUUUUGCUUCAUGGCGAGAUGUUGAAAGACGGUUUCGGCUGUCACUACAAGAUGGGCCCGCGGCGCAUUAGCUAGUUGGUAGGGUAAUGGCCUACCAAGGCGACGAUGCGUAGCCGACCUGAGAGGGUGAUCGGCCACACUGGGACUGAGACACGGCCCAGACUCCUACGGGAGGCAGCAGUAGGGAAUCUUCCACAAUGGACGAAAGUCUGAUGGAGCAACGCCGCGUGAGUGAAGAAGGUUUUCGGAUCGUAAAACUCUGUUGUAAGGGAAGAACACGUACGAGAGUAACUGCUCGUACCUUGACGGUACCUUAUUAGAAAGCCACGGCUAACUACGUG